AUUGAACGCUGGCGGCAGGCCUAACACAUGCAAGUCGAACGGUAACAGGAAGCAGCUUGCUGCUUUGCUGACGAGUGGCGGACGGGUGAGUCAUGUCUGGGAAACUGCCUGAUGGAGGGGGAUAACUACUGGAAACGGUAGCUAAUACCGCAUAACGUCGCAAGACCAAAGAGGGGGACCUUCGGGCCUCUUGCCACCGGAUGUGCCCAGAUGGGAUUAGCUAGUAGGUGGGGUAAAGGCUCACCUAGGCGACGAUCCCUAGCUUGUCUGAGAGGAUGACCAGCCACACUGGAACUGAGACACGGUCCAGACUCCUACGGGAGGCAGCAGUGGGGAAUAUUGCACAAUGGGCGCAAGCCUGAUGCAGCCAUGCCGCGUGUAUGAAGAAGGCCUUCGGGUUGUAAAGUACUUUCAGCGGGGAGGAAGGGAGUAAAGUUAAUACCUUUGCUCAUUGACGUUACCCGCAGAAGAAGCACCGGCUAACUCCGUG
RNAcentral lists this ribosomal RNA (490 nucleotides) under uncultured bacterium. RNAcentral describes it as "partial 16S ribosomal RNA". It matches the Rfam family "Bacterial small subunit ribosomal RNA", at positions 30 to 507 of the family's 1533-position model. The record is from RNAcentral.